GGCUAUAGCUCAGCAGCAGGGCACAUGCCUUGCAUGCAGAGGGUCCCAGGUUCGAAACCCGGCAUCUCCA
This is a non-coding RNA of Podarcis lilfordi (Lilford's wall lizard), 70 nucleotides long. Lineage: Eukaryota; Metazoa; Chordata; Lepidosauria; Squamata; Lacertidae. The record is from the annotation of a GenBank genome assembly.